GGCGGCGGCAGCGGCUGAGGCGCGGGGCCGGGCGGAAGCGGGCGGCUGAGGCGCGGAGCGGCGCGGAGCGGAGCGGGGCGGGCGCCAUGUCGGGCCGGGAGGGCGGCAAGAAGAAGCCGCUGAAGCAGCCGAAGAAGCAGACCAAGGACCUGGAUGAGACAGAUCUGGCAUUUAAACAAAAGCAGAAGGAGGAGCAGAAGAAACUUGAGGAGAUGAAAGCAAAGGCUGCUGGAAAAGGGCCCCUCGCCAGUGGUGGAAUAAAGAAGUCUGGCAAAAAGUAGCUCGAUCGAACUACAAUGUAAGAUGUGAUGGAGUUAUUCAAUGGACCUGCAACAUUCUGAACAUCAAGAAAACUCGCUAGUGCUUAGGUAACAUUGUACAUUUUGUUUAGUCAGAAUAAAACUUUUUUGUUAAGAGGUGAUA
Long non-coding RNA from Anas platyrhynchos (mallard), 423 nucleotides. RefSeq lists it as uncharacterized. NCBI's taxonomy places the organism in Eukaryota, Metazoa, Chordata, Aves, Anseriformes, Anatidae. The record is from RefSeq and is a predicted model, not a curated record.